GACGAACGCUGGCGGCGUGCCUAAUACAUGCAAGUCGAGCGCAGGAAACUGACGGAACUCUUCGGAGGGAAGGCAGUGGAAUGAGCGGCGGACGGGUGAGUAACACGUAAGGAACCUGCCUCAAGGAUUGGGAUAACUCCGAGAAAUCGGAGCUAAUACCGGAUAGUUCAUCGGACCGCAUGGCCCGUUGAUGAAAGGCGCUCCGGCGUCACCUUGAGAUCGCCUUGCGGUGCAUUAGCUAGUUGGUGGGGUAACGGCCCACCAAGGCGACGAUGCAUAGCCGACCUGAGAGGGUGAUCGGCCACACUGGGACUGAGGCACGGCCCAGACUCCUACGGGAGGCAGCAGUAGGGAAUCUUCCACAAUGGACGAAAGUCUGAUGGAGCAACGCCGCGUGAGUGAUGAAGGUUUUCGGAUCGUAAAACUCUGUUGUAAGGGAAGAACACGUACGAGAGGGAAUGCUCGUACCUUGACGGUACCUUACGAGAAAGCCACGGCUAACUACGUGCCAGCCGCCGCGGUAA
RNAcentral lists this ribosomal RNA (524 nucleotides) under uncultured bacterium. RNAcentral describes it as "partial 16S ribosomal RNA". It matches the Rfam family "Bacterial small subunit ribosomal RNA", at positions 28 to 523 of the family's 1533-position model. The record is from RNAcentral.